GAUGAACGCUGGCGGCGUGCCUAAUACAUGCAAGUCGAGCGAACAGACGAGGAGCUUGCUCCUCUGACGUUAGCGGCGGACGGGUGAGUAACACGUGGAUAACCUACCUAUAAGACUGGGAUAACUUCGGGAAACCGGAGCUAAUACCGGAUAAUAUAUUGAACCGCAUGGUUCAAUAGUGAAAGACGGUUUUGCUGUCACUUAUAGAUGGAUCCGCGCCGCAUUAGCUAGUUGGUAAGGUAACGGCUUACCAAGGCAACGAUGCGUAGCCGACCUGAGAGGGUGAUCGGCCACACUGGAAGUGAGACACGGUACAGACUCCUACGGGAGGCAGCAGUAGGGAAUCUUACGCAAUGGGCGAAAGCCUGACGGAGCAACGCCGCGUGAGUGAUGAAGGUCUUCGGAUCGUAAAACUCUGUUAUUAGGGAAGAACAAAUGUGUAAGUAACUAUGAACGUCUUGACGGUACCUAAUCAGAAAGCCACGGCUAACUACGUG
This 497-nucleotide ribosomal RNA is filed under the name uncultured bacterium. RNAcentral describes it as "partial 16S ribosomal RNA". It matches the Rfam family "Bacterial small subunit ribosomal RNA", at positions 28 to 507 of the family's 1533-position model. The record is from RNAcentral.